GGUUGGGGAGGUGGGGGGAAGCGAAGCCCUAAGAUGGGCGGAGAGAAGCAGAUGUGGAGGUGAUGGCGAAGACCCAGAUAUAAGCAGUUGGUGAGUUCCAUGAGGAGACUGCAACUUCUCCACCCUGUGCCCCUCCAGAUCCCUCAUGCUGCUCUGUGUCCUCCAGGGUUGGCCUGUCCAAGUUCAACAGUGGGCUUCCACACCCUCCCACUUCCAGCUGGGUUGGCCAAGGACUUUCAACUGCGGCACCAGAAGGGACCUUAUAGCUGAGAAAAUUGAAGCUCAGAGAGCUGCAGCAGCUUGCCCAGCAUCAUACGGCACUGGAAAUGGUCAGCCAAUGUGUUCCGUAGAGCACGGAGCCAUAACAAAAGAGUCUGUGGGUGUCACCCGCCCGUCUGCCAGCCUGCAGGAUCAGGUAUCGGAGGCCUUCAGGACUCUCGUAGGCUGCCUUGGCAUCUCUGCACCACACUUAUGCCUGGCCCCCAUUCGGCAGGCAGAUCCAAUCCCUGGGAGGAUAAGGGUGUGUUCUGGAAGCUGGCAGUGCCCCCUGGUGAAGCCCUCAGAAGCCUGGGGCGAGAGCUGUCACCUCCCCCACAGAGAAAGCUGGAAUCGAUUCCUCUCUCACCACUCCCUUGGAAAGAACAGCAACACAAGGGAAGGCCUGUUAUUGGUGGAGGGUUUGUCCUGAGAGAGCAGCAGGUACAUAAAAAAAUAGCUGGGGCAACACGCCGGCCUCGGACCCAGCCUGUGCAGCCCAAAACGGGGGCACAGAUCCGUCCCGCCCCACCCUUGCUGCUGAGUUGGGUCUGGGCCCCUCCUGGUAGCCGGGGUAUGGAGGACCCUGGCUGCUGCCCCUGCCUCCUCGCCGGGACCUGACUUUCCCUCUGCCCCCCACUGGGAACUGGCCAGAGUGUUUUUACUAACAAGCUAGCCAUGUCACAAUCUCAACAGAGAGAGACGGGCGUGGGGAGGAAGAGAGAGGGAGACAGAGACAGAGAAAAGAAAGG
Long non-coding RNA from Homo sapiens (human), 1007 nucleotides. RefSeq lists it as uncharacterized. Lineage: Eukaryota; Metazoa; Chordata; Mammalia; Primates; Hominidae. The transcript is spliced from 4 exons. The record is from RefSeq and is a predicted model, not a curated record.